RNAcentral lists this long non-coding RNA (393 nucleotides) under Coffea arabica (coffee). RNAcentral describes it as "long non-coding RNA (CARA_LNC007059)". Lineage: Eukaryota; Viridiplantae; Streptophyta; Magnoliopsida; Gentianales; Rubiaceae. The record is from RNAcentral.
AACUCGGUUUGAGACACUCUCAUUGACAGUGCGAGGCCUCUCCUGGACAGUGCUUUGGGGUACAACCUCUUUCAAUUUGGCAGCUUGAGUACCAGUAGUCUCUUUUGCAGAGACUGAUUUCAUGCUGGAGUUCAGAGAAGGUCUGGGAGAUAACAUCACAUUAACUUCAGAAAAUUUUCCCUGUAAAACAAGUAUGAUAGUUCCUCAGUAAGACCCCUUCUUCACACCCCAUUAAAGAAUCCAAUUGCUUUUCAGUAGAAUAAGCAAAUUCACCUCAGAGAACCCAUCCAUGGCAUCUGAGAACCCUCUUUUGUUGCCUGAAGUAAUCGUUCUCUGCAAAUUCGAGCAAUUCCCAUCCUUCAAAGGAUGCAAAGGAAACAGAGGUUUCUCAUC